RNAcentral lists this ribosomal RNA (433 nucleotides) under uncultured bacterium. RNAcentral's name for it is "bacterial SSU rRNA". It matches the Rfam family "Bacterial small subunit ribosomal RNA", at positions 29 to 507 of the family's 1533-position model. The record is from RNAcentral.
AACGAACGCUGGCGGCAUGCCUAACACAUGCAAGUCGAACGAAGGCUUCGGCCUUAGUGGCGCACGGGUGCGUAACGCGUGGGAACCUGCCCCUCGGUUCGGAAUAACAGUUAGAAAUGACUGCUAAUACCGGAUGAUGACUUCGGUCCAAAGAUUUAUCGCCGAGGGAUGGGCCCGCGUAGGAUUAGCUAGUUGGUGGGGUAAAGGCCUACCAAGGCGACGAUCCUUAGCUGGUCUGAGAGGAUGAUCAGCCACACUGGGACUGAGACACGGCCCAGACUCCUAUGGGAGGCAGCAGUGGGGAAUAUUGGACAAUGGGCGAAAGCCUGAUCCAGCAAUGCCGCGUGAGUGAUGAAGGCCUUAGGGUUGUAAAGCUCUUUUACCAGGGAUGAUAAUGACAGUACCUGGAGAAUAAGCUCCGGCUAACUCCGUG